CUCUCAUCACUGACCUCUCCAUCUGGAUAAUGCCCUCAAAGUGCUUCCUGAGCUCCCUUUCCACCAUUUUUUUCAGUUCAACCGGAUAUGCAAGGGAGAUCGGGUUUUCUGUGGUAGCUAGGAUCUCGAUCUCAAGCCAAGCUACCUUAUCAGUAACCUCCUUUACUUUUUCUAUUGCUUUCUCUAUCUCCUUAGCUACUUCUUCCCUGGC
This 211-nucleotide long non-coding RNA is filed under the name Elaeis guineensis (African oil palm). RNAcentral's name for it is "long non-coding RNA (EGUI_LNC035541)". Lineage: Eukaryota; Viridiplantae; Streptophyta; Magnoliopsida; Arecales; Arecaceae. The record is from RNAcentral.